AUUGAACGCUGGCGGCAGGCCUAACACAUGCAAGUCGAGCGGAUGAAGGGAGCUUGCUCCUGGAUUCAGCGGCGGACGGGUGAGUAAUGCCUAGGAAUCUGCCUGGUAGUGGGGGAUAACGUCCGGAAACGGGCGCUAAUACCGCAUACGUCCUGAGGGAGAAAGUGGGGGAUCUUCGGACCUCACGCUAUUAGAUGAGCCUAGGUCGGAUUAGCUAGUUGGUGGGGUAAAGGCCUACCAAGGCGACGAUCCGUAACUGGUCUGAGAGGAUGAUCAGUCACACUGGAACUGAGACACGGUCCAGACUCCUACGGGAGGCAGCAGUGGGGAAUAUUGGACAAUGGGCGAAAGCCUGAUCCAGCCAUGCCGCGUGUGUGAAGAAGGUCUUCGGAUUGUAAAGCACUUUAAGUUGGGAGGAAGGGCAGUAAGUUAAUACCUUGCUGUUUUGACGUUACCAACAGAAUAAGCACCGGCUAACUUCGU
This 483-nucleotide ribosomal RNA is filed under the name uncultured bacterium. RNAcentral describes it as "partial 16S ribosomal RNA". It matches the Rfam family "Bacterial small subunit ribosomal RNA", at positions 30 to 506 of the family's 1533-position model. The record is from RNAcentral.